This 253-nucleotide ribosomal RNA is filed under the name uncultured bacterium. RNAcentral's name for it is "partial 16S ribosomal RNA". It matches the Rfam family "Bacterial small subunit ribosomal RNA", at positions 524 to 776 of the family's 1533-position model. The record is from RNAcentral.
UACGAAGGGGGCUAGCGUUGUUCGGAAUCACUGGGCGUAAAGGGCUCGUAGGUGGCCAACUAAGUCGGACGUGAAAUCCCUCAGCUUAACUGGGGAACUGCGUCCGAUACUGGAUGGCUUGAGUUUGGGAGAGGGAUGCGGAAUUCCAGGUGUAGCGGUGAAAUGCGUAGAUAUCUGGAGGAACACCGGUGGCGAAGGCGGCAUCCUGGACCAACACUGACACUGAGGAGCGAAAGCCAAGGGAGCAAACAGG